Molecule: ribosomal RNA, 254 nt
Filed under: uncultured bacterium
Lineage: Bacteria
Description: partial 16S ribosomal RNA
Rfam family: Bacterial small subunit ribosomal RNA
Source: RNAcentral
UACGGGGGGAGCAAGCGUUGUUCGGAUUUACUGGGCGUAAAGGGCGCGUAGGCGGCCACCGCUAGUUGAUUGUGAAAUCUCCGGGCUUAACCCGGAAAGGUCAACCGAUACUGCGGGGCUAGAGUGCAGAAGGGGCAACUGGAAUUCUCGGUGUAGCGGUGAAAUGCGUAGAUAUCGAGAGGAACACCUGCGGCGAAGGCGGGUUGCUGGGCUGACACUGACGCUGAUGCGCGAAAGCCAGGGGAGCGAACGGG